Molecule: ribosomal RNA, 253 nt
Filed under: uncultured bacterium
Lineage: Bacteria
Description: partial 16S ribosomal RNA
Rfam family: Bacterial small subunit ribosomal RNA
Source: RNAcentral
UACGGAGGGUGCAAACGUUGCUCGGAAUCAUUGGGCGUAAAGCGCACGUAGGCGGCUUGGCAAGUCGGAUGUGAAAUCCCUCGGCUCAACCAAGGAAGUGCAUCCGAAACUGCUGAGCUUGAGUACUUAAGAGGAUCGCGGAAUUCCCGGUGUAGAGGUGAAAUUCGUAGAUAUCGGGAGGAACACCAGUGGCGAAGGCGGCGAUCUGGGAAGAUACUGACGCUGAGGUGCGAAAGCGUGGGGAGCAAACAGG